AUACGGAGGGAGCUAGCGUUGUUCGGAAUUACUGGGCGUAAAGCGCACGUAGGCGGCUAUUCAAGUCAGAGGUGAAAGCCCGGGGCUCAACCCCGGAACUGCCUUUGAAACUAGAUAGCUUGAAUCCAGGAGAGGUGAGUGGAAUUCCGAGUGUAGAGGUGAAAUUCGUAGAUAUUCGGAAGAACACCAGUGGCGAAGGCGGCUCACUGGACUGGUAUUGACGCUGAGGUGCGAAAGCGUGGGGAGCAAGCAGGAUUAGAUACCCUGGUAGUCCACGCCGUAAACGAUGAUAACUAGCUGUCAGGGCACAUGGUGUUUUGGUGGCGCAGCUAACGCAUUAAGUUAUCCGCCUGGGGAGUACGGUCGCAAGAUUAAA
This 376-nucleotide ribosomal RNA is filed under the name uncultured bacterium. Its description in RNAcentral is "bacterial SSU rRNA". It matches the Rfam family "Bacterial small subunit ribosomal RNA", at positions 523 to 898 of the family's 1533-position model. The record is from RNAcentral.